AGCUUAGGGUCACACACAGACAGAAGGACUCCAACAUUAAUACACGCUGAUCUCCCCAAAUCCCAGUCAGAAAAGGCUUUUCAUACUACUGAACCAAGCUGAGCCGAACCAAACCAAGCUGGCCUGGUUCCACAUCCACCAUAGUUGUUGGAACCAUGCUAAAAAGGACAAAGCAAAACAUCUGUGCCAGCACAGUUUGGGUUAGGUCAGGACCAUAGUGUGAAAAGGGUAUUUGUUUCAUAAUGAUAAAGCUCUGUCUAGAUGUUUCACAGUUUGGGUUAGGUCAGGACCAUAGUGUGAAAAGGGUAUUUGUUUCAUAAUGAUAAAGCUCUGUCUAGAUGUUUCACAGUUUGGGUUAGGUCAGGACCAUAGUGUGAAAAGGGUAUUUGUUUCAUAAUGAUAAAGCUCUGUCUAGAUGUUUCACAGUUUGGGUUAGGUCAGGACCAUAGUGUGAAAAGGGUAUUUGUUUCAUAAUGAUAAAGCUCUGUCUAGAUGUUUCACAGUUUGGGUUAGGUCAGGACCAUAGUGUGAAAAGGGUAUUUGUUUCAUAAUGAUAAAGCUCUGUCUAG
Molecule: long non-coding RNA, 569 nt
Organism: Oncorhynchus keta (chum salmon)
Lineage: Eukaryota; Metazoa; Chordata; Actinopteri; Salmoniformes; Salmonidae
Exons: 3
Source: RefSeq, a predicted model, not a curated record